This is a small nucleolar RNA of Neltuma alba, 90 nucleotides long. RefSeq annotates it as small nucleolar RNA Z159/U59. The transcript has a single exon. NCBI's taxonomy places the organism in Eukaryota, Viridiplantae, Streptophyta, Magnoliopsida, Fabales, Fabaceae. The record is from RefSeq and is a predicted model, not a curated record.
GUCUCUGAUGAGGAUGGAGUUUGAAUAAACUUUCGUUCUUCUGAUAAACAUUUCAUGAAGAAUGUUUUUGGAGACCUGAACUGAAGAGAC